CUGAACCCUAGCGAAGUAAAUC
Molecule: microRNA, 22 nt
Filed under: Glycine max (soybean)
Lineage: Eukaryota; Viridiplantae; Streptophyta; Magnoliopsida; Fabales; Fabaceae
Description: gma-miR4367
Source: miRBase by way of RNAcentral